Non-coding RNA from Camelina sativa (false flax), 773 nucleotides. The record is from RefSeq and is a predicted model, not a curated record. NCBI's taxonomy places the organism in Eukaryota, Viridiplantae, Streptophyta, Magnoliopsida, Brassicales, Brassicaceae.
AGAUUGCAUAUGAUGAGCUAGUGAAAUUGAUGGGUGGAGGAGAGCUACACUCAAGGGUUAUGGUUGAUGCUUUUAUGGAUGAGGGUGAUGUCUCAAGGAGACAAGGACACGCUUGGAUUCUUCACUGUGCUAAGGUUUUGUUCUUGCUCUUAACUCUUCUUUUUACUCUCUGUUUUUCCUAAUUACAUGUGUGGAGAAGGAUCCUAUAAUGGCUCAAUGAUGGCUUUGACUGAUCGUUGUCACUACAUACUCUUCUCUUGGACAUAUUUGUUUAGAUAUUCUCUAUGACUUCUGGUCUCCCGCAAUGACAGUGAGUUCAGUCUGCAUCAGCAUUCUCUCUAUGCUAUCGAGUUCACCCGAAAAGCCCGGCUGAUAAUGAUCGAUACGUGAAGAACUGCAAGAACGGGAGAUCUCCUAAAGAGACAAGGUGGUGGUUGCAUGACGACAAGGUUUGAUGAUGAUGACCUACAAGAUGUCUACUGAAGAGGUUUAUAUAAUUUCCCAAGACCAAUAAUACUAUAUUCUAAGAGCUUGUGUUCAAGCUUUGCAAGAAGAGGAGUUGCAAAAACAUGUAGAUAUCCCUAUUGCGUCUUCAUCAAAUAUCGACGUUCUAAGUAAGAACUGUUCCGGAAUCUAAUUAUAAGUUCUCUAGAAAAUCUUGUUUUGUCUGUUAUUUAAGCUUUUUCUCUCAAUCAAAAUCCAUGUUAACUUGUUAUUAUGUUGAUUGAAUUAAUUAGUGUAUAUUAGUUGUUAAUCUAAUACAUAAAAUUAUA